RNAcentral lists this unclassified non-coding RNA (391 nucleotides) under soil metagenome. RNAcentral describes it as "partial contains 5.8S ribosomal RNA, internal transcribed spacer 2, and large subunit ribosomal RNA". The stretch from base 1 to 122 matches the Rfam family "5.8S ribosomal RNA", at positions 35 to 154 of the family's 154-position model. The record is from RNAcentral.
GAUGAAGAACGCAGCGAAAUGCGAUACUUGGUGUGAAUUGCAGAAUCCCGUGAACCAUCGAGUCUUUGAACGCAAGUUGCGCCCGAAGCCAUUAGGCCGAGGGCACGCCUGCCUGGGCGUCACACAUCGUUGCCCCCCCAUCUACUCCUUCGGGAUUGCGGGGGGCGGAUGAUGGCCUCCCGUGCGCCUCGUCGCGCGGUUGGCAUAAAUGCCAAGUCCUCGGCGACGCACGCCACGACAAUCGGUGGUUGCGAAACCUCGGUUGCCCGUCGUGUGCGGUCGUCGCGCAUCGAGGGCUCGAAAAAAUUGCCGGGCUCCGGCUCGGCUGUCAACGCGACCCCAGGUCAGGCGGGGUUACCCGCUGAAUUUAAGCAUAUCAAUAAGCGGAGGA